RNAcentral lists this long non-coding RNA (1228 nucleotides) under Neogobius melanostomus (round goby). RNAcentral's name for it is "lncRNA (ENSNMLG00000010275.1)". The record is from RNAcentral. Lineage: Eukaryota; Metazoa; Chordata; Actinopteri; Gobiiformes; Gobiidae.
CCUAACCCCUGACCCUAGCCCUAACCCUGAGCCUAAACCUAACCCCUGACCCUAAACCUAACCCCUGAGCCUAAACCUAACCCCUGACCCUAACCCUAACCCUGAGCCUAACCCUAACCCUGACCCUAACCUAACCCUGAGCCUAACCCUAACUCUCUCAUCUGGGGGGAUGGUAAGUAACAGGCUAAACCAAGACUAACCCAGGUCCUUGGCGUCAUAUUUCAGAAAAGAGGGCCUGACCAUCGCAGAGCUCAGAGAACUCUACAACACUCCAGUGAUGAAAGCUGAGCGCUUCGUUCGUCGUAAAGAAAGCUGGCCAUCAUGGAUGCCCACCGUGCCCUAUGUCGGCACCCACAGCGGAGUCAGGGUGACUCUGCCAGAUGACCGCCAGUUCUUGAUCCACAAAGGCAAUGACUUCGGCAGCGCCUCGGAGACCGUGGUCACAGAUGCCAAGUACAUGUCCAGCACAUGGAAGAAGAAGGGCGGUGACACCCUGUGCUUCAGUGGAGCUGUGACGGUCGGGGACAUGGUGAGAGCCGGGGGAGAGAAGUACAGUCUGUGGAAACUGCAGUACUGCCACAGGGCCACUAAUGCCAUGAUGGACCUGUGCUAGAUCCCCCCCCCCCCCAUGGCUGUGCAGUCGACACAUCCAGCUGGCAAUACAGCGAUUCAAUAAAACAUCGCUCUGGUCUGAUGUUCCUUUGUUUGUGUGAUGAAGAUGAUUAGAGACACAGUUUCUUCAUGAAGAGACACAGAGACAUGACUUUAAUUAUGUAACAGUUUUCAAGACUAUCACCGUCACACAGUCGUCUUUAGCCUUUAGUGAAUGAAGUCAGCAUCAAUACUAAUGAUUAAAGCCCCUAUAGUAGAGCGGCGCUUAAGUUUGUGUGUGUUUCUGCUACUGUCACUAAGAGAUAAAUGCUUUGUGACCAUAUCUGUGAAAGACGCUAUAUAAAUAAAGAUCUUCUUCUUCUUCUUCCUCUUCUUCUUCUUUGAAAGACACAAAUAACUAGAAUUAAACAUAUCCCAGAGUGUACCGGCCUGUAAAAGCAAACAAAACAAAAAAACAAAUGCCACAUGAUCUGACUCUGUUCAGCUUUGGGGCUUUUGGACUGACUGAGAUGAGCCCUGAAUUUGGAAAAGAACACUUGAAUAAAGGCAGUCAGAAAGGAAAAUUGCAACUCAUGCGUGGAAAUAUUUUCAAAUUGGGCGGAAAAAACAUUCUCAG